This is a long non-coding RNA of Micropterus salmoides (largemouth bass), 545 nucleotides long. RefSeq lists it as uncharacterized. NCBI's taxonomy places the organism in Eukaryota, Metazoa, Chordata, Actinopteri, Centrarchiformes, Centrarchidae. The record is from RefSeq and is a predicted model, not a curated record. The transcript is spliced from 3 exons.
CGGUUACGGUUAUAGCAUCUAACAUUGCUCCACCUGCAGCAGAAUGGCUGCUGAAUAACAUCAUCUGGAUCAACACCGAAGGGGACGACAGCUGUUUCUGAGCCUCCUGGAAGACGCGGGUGUACAGGAAAAUCAUCACCACCAGUGGCAAGUAGAAUGAGACAAUUGAGGAAGACACAGCGUACGCUGCAUUGGUGUUGAAAUCACAGCAGUAUUCGUCGGCCAAGCACUGAAGAGCCUCCGCAUUAUCUGACACCCACAAUUUCAGAUGGAUGGGCAGGAAGGAGAUGAGGGAGGCCACUGCCCAAACCCCAAGGACCACCGCAAAGGCCCGGCCUCUGGUCAGCAGAGGGAGACAGGAGAGCGCAGACAGGUACUCCAACCAGACCAACACGGGAUUGGAACUCAUUCUUGAGGAGAACUGCUGGAUCGGAUUUUCCUGCCCAUCUGCCAGUUUGGCAGUUAUAUAUAUAGCCUAUAGCCUCAGCCCCGUCAGCCUCAACCUGCUCUACGUUUCUGUUUUGUGAAUAAAUUCCUGAAACCUG